GGGUUGUUUGUGAAGAAAGAUAAGAGGCAAACAAAGUUUCGAGAACUGUAUGAUUUUUUUUGGCCCGCAUGCAAAAAUGUAAGUAAUUUUGUUUUCUGCGGUUGCCGGUUUCGAUUGCCAAACUCUCUGCUUAAAUACAAAUAGUAUUUUGAAACUGUUCUAUAAGUACUAUAUAAAACAUGAGCAGCCGAUCUUUAGCUGAAGUUUAUGUGAAUCAGGACAAAUCUUUAUCCGAUUUACAAACAUUUAUUGAAUAUUCAUUUCUUUUGUAUUUUCCUCAUGAAUUAUUAAUGAGUUUUUUAAAUCAGUUCAUUAUAUUUGUGCAAACUUAAGAAUAAUUCGAAUUUUAUAUACAUGCAUGGGCAUUCGUUUUAGUAAUCAUUUACGGAAAAAAAGCAUCCGCUUUUCCGUUCAAAUUUACAUGCAUCAUCGAAAAGGGGUCAGACGUGUCUUGUAUCUUGAUUGAUGCAAAAUGCACCUGUUGUUCAUUACGGCAUCUAUAGUGGUCAGGAACGGCUUUACUGAACAAUAGUGCACGAAAAGUUUGUUUGUCGCUGGCGGAGUUUCAAUUAUUUUUCUCUUUCAUCGAUGUUUUCAGGAACUACGACGCUGAUGCAUUGACGCAGUUAGUGCCAGUUGGAUUCUUGCGGUUUAGUAUCUGUCCACAUUUUAAUAACAGGUGUGGUAUGAUUAGAGGGUUUUUUUUAACUAAGAUCGAUGUCACAUCAAACUUAAUAUCUUGUGUAGGAAUUGAAACUCUAUAGCUAUAUAUAUGUACAACGCCGAAAAAUUUUGAAACUUUGAAAUAUAUACCAUAUAGGGAAUAUAAACAUGCAAAGAAAUUCUACAGACAGCAGAAUACAAGACAAGGUUUAAUUAUUGUUCAGUUGAGUUAUUUUUCUGUUUUAAAAUGAUGUUAAGUUUUGAAGUUAAUCUGAGAACCG
Paramuricea clavata is the source of this 944-nucleotide non-coding RNA. NCBI's taxonomy places the organism in Eukaryota, Metazoa, Cnidaria, Anthozoa, Malacalcyonacea, Plexauridae. The record is from the annotation of a GenBank genome assembly.